Molecule: long non-coding RNA, 229 nt
Filed under: Ananas comosus (pineapple)
Lineage: Eukaryota; Viridiplantae; Streptophyta; Magnoliopsida; Poales; Bromeliaceae
Description: long non-coding RNA (ACOM_LNC000615)
Source: RNAcentral
GGAAUGAAGAAGGGUAAGAGGUUUAGCGGACCCCGGCGGCGAAGAAGGCGGUUUCCGAAGAUGGGGGAGGCGGCGAAAGUAGUGGGUUCCGAGGAUGGGGGAGAAGAGGAAGAGGAAGGAGACAGGAGAUGGGGGAGAAGAGGAAGAGGAAGGAGACAAGAGAUGGGGGAGAAGAGGAAGAGGAAAGUUUCCUUGGAUGCCCUCGGGAGUAGAGCGAGGACAGAGGGGU